Long non-coding RNA from Megalopta genalis, 735 nucleotides. RefSeq lists it as uncharacterized. The record is from RefSeq and is a predicted model, not a curated record. NCBI's taxonomy places the organism in Eukaryota, Metazoa, Arthropoda, Insecta, Hymenoptera, Halictidae.
UCCAUAUUUUAGUGUCCAAACUAAUUUUUGUUCAGACUUCAAUUAACUUUUCCAGUGGUGGAUCGAGAGUAUUAAGUUUGAUAGCGAUUCAUUUGAAGUAUCGUCCGUGGGAUUGGCAGAGAGUAAGCGUGGCUUAACGACAGAUCCGAUCUGCACGAGUGGAACAAUCGGUCCUCCUCGAUCGGUCUCCUCCUCCCCUUUUUAUGCCGACGUAUUUCGAUGCCUGAUCGAAUACAGGGAUUCCCAGACCGACGGGGAGAAAUAGACGAUUAUUCAAGUAACGUCGGGAACAUAACGUGUGACGAUAACUCGGAAGAGAGCAGAGGGGGAUGGUGCGUUCUCAAAAGUUGAAGAAAAUUUCUGAAAAAAAAACCCGCGAGGAAAUUCUUGCGGGCAAUAUAACCGAGGAGAUCGAGAAACGCGUUUCCGAGCGGUGCGUCCUAAGCGAGUCUCGAACAGAUGAUCCCCACCGGGGCAGCCCGUUUGCAACCCGGGGAACGACCAGCAUGAAGAGCCUCGAUCUCCAUCGCGCCUUGAAAUUCCACGGAUCCGGCGCGGCACGGUGCGGCACACCCUCGAGAAACAGAUCCCGUAAAAUAGAAACUUCCGACGCUACGUACGGGCUGCAUAUUCCCCGCAACGAGGACUUCAUACCGGAGUUUCCCGAGGACCUAGCGCAGGUCCUUGUAAUUUCGCCUGGCAGCAUCCUCGUCCUUUCCUUUGCGCCGGCUUCCA